GACGAACGCUGGCGGCGUGCUUAACACAUGCAAGUCGAACGGAAAGGCCCUGCUUGCAGGGUACUCGAGUGGCGAACGGGUGAGUAACACGUGGGUGAUCUGCCCUGCACUUCGGGAUAAGCCUGGGAAACUGGGUCUAAUACCGGAUAGGAGCCAUUUUUAGUGUGAUGGUUGGAAAGUUUUUUCGGUGUAGGAUGAGCUCGCGGCCUAUCAGCUUGUUGGUGGGGUAAUGGCCUACCAAGGCGGCGACGGGUAGCCGGCCUGAGAGGGUGGACGGCCACAUUGGGACUGAGAUACGGCCCAGACUCCUACGGGAGGCAGCAGUGGGGAAUAUUGCACAAUGGGCGCAAGCCUGAUGCAGCGACGCCGCGUGGGGGAUGACGGCCUUCGGGUUGUAAACUCCUUCCGCUAGGGACGAAGCUUUUUGUGACGGUACCUAGAUAAGAAGCACCGGCUAACUACGUG
RNAcentral lists this ribosomal RNA (465 nucleotides) under uncultured bacterium. Its description in RNAcentral is "partial 16S ribosomal RNA". It matches the Rfam family "Bacterial small subunit ribosomal RNA", at positions 28 to 507 of the family's 1533-position model. The record is from RNAcentral.